This 60-nucleotide transfer RNA is filed under the name Coleoptera sp. ACP-2013. RNAcentral describes it as "tRNA-Cys". Lineage: Eukaryota; Metazoa; Arthropoda; Insecta; Coleoptera. The record is from RNAcentral.
UAAAUUUGCAAUUUAAAAAAAAAUGAUAUUAAAUUGCAAAUUUAAAGGUUUAUUUAAUUU